UAUGCAUCCAAACACUUAGACAGAAAGC
This 28-nucleotide non-coding RNA is filed under the name Rattus norvegicus (Norway rat). The record is from RNAcentral. Lineage: Eukaryota; Metazoa; Chordata; Mammalia; Rodentia; Muridae.